Molecule: small nucleolar RNA, 65 nt
Organism: Plutella xylostella (diamondback moth)
Lineage: Eukaryota; Metazoa; Arthropoda; Insecta; Lepidoptera; Plutellidae
Source: RefSeq, a predicted model, not a curated record
AAUAAUGUGAUGAUUUUGAUAUCGCCCCAGUCUGAAACCUAUGUUGAUUGAUUAUUCUGAUUGAU